RNAcentral lists this long non-coding RNA (516 nucleotides) under Homo sapiens (human). RNAcentral describes it as "novel transcript". The record is from RNAcentral. Lineage: Eukaryota; Metazoa; Chordata; Mammalia; Primates; Hominidae.
GGGGCGGGUAGGGCUGCAGCGCUAGGAACCGGGUCACCGGGUCUAGGUCAAAGUCGCCCUGGCAGGUAUAGGGCUCUUCAUGCCUUUUUCUGGAGUGUUAUUGAGGUGGAAUCGCUUUUUCUCCCUGGUGGCGCCAGUUGGAUCCUUCCAGAAUGAGCUCAACGGAGUCUGACGCCGAACACUGUUCUUCCGGGACCUAGGUUUAGUUCACAAAUUGGGUAUUUCUCUCCAGGGUGUUUCUCUCCAGGGCAACUAAUACACUGCGUGCCUACCAGUUGCCAGCCUGGCGAGGGCACGUUUGCGUCGUUUGGCUCAUUCACUCUUGCUCUCUGUUGUUAGUCCCCAGAAUUCAAAAGUUGGAAAGCCCGUGGGCGGCACUAUUCUUUUCCUACUAAUUUGUAGCUUUAAUAACACAUAAGGGGAAGCACAUUAGAUUGUAUUUACUUAUGGAGGGAGCUUUCUCGUUACGUUUUAUUUUAAGCUUUUCUACAACACUGCAAAAGGGGUUUGCAAAAA